RNAcentral lists this ribosomal RNA (253 nucleotides) under uncultured bacterium. RNAcentral's name for it is "partial 16S ribosomal RNA". It matches the Rfam family "Bacterial small subunit ribosomal RNA", at positions 524 to 776 of the family's 1533-position model. The record is from RNAcentral.
UACAGGGGGUGCAAACGUUGCUCGGAAUCAUUGGGCGUAAAGCGCACGUAGGCGGUCUGUUAUGUCGGAUGUGAAAGCCCUUGGCUCAACUGAGGAAGUGCAUCCGAAACUGGCAGGCUAGAGUACUAAAGAGGAUCGCGGAAUUCCCGGUGUAGAGGUGAAAUUCGUAGAUAUCGGAAGGAACAUCAGUGGCGAAAGCGGCUUCCUGGACCAGCACCGACGUUCAGGCACGAAAGCGUGGGGAGCAAACAGG